Molecule: ribosomal RNA, 461 nt
Filed under: uncultured Nannocystis sp.
Lineage: Bacteria; Pseudomonadati; Myxococcota; Nannocystales; Nannocystaceae
Description: partial 16S ribosomal RNA
Source: RNAcentral
GACUACAGGGGUAUCUAAUCCUGUUUGCUCCCCGCGCUUUCGCACCUCAGCGUCAAUCUUCGUCCAGGUCAGCGCCUUCGCCACUGGUAUUCCUCCCGAUAUCUACGAAUUUCACCUCUACACCGGGAAUUCUCUGACCCCCUCCGAGAUUCAAGCGAAGCAGUUUUGAAUGCACUUCCUGGGUUGAGCCCAGGGCUUUCACACCCAACUUGCUUCGCCGCCUACGUGCGCUUUACGCCCAAUGAUUCCGAGCAACGUUUGCACCCUCCGUAUUACCGCGGCUGCUGGCACGGAGUUAGCCGGUGCUUGCUAAGGAGAUACCGUCAAGGCCCGCUCUUCACGGGCUUUCUUCGUCUCUCCCCACAGAGCUUUACGACCCGAAGGCCUUCAUCGCUCACGCGGCGUGGCUGCGUCAGGCUUUCGCCCAUUGCGCAAUAUUCCCCACUGCAGCCCCCCGUAGG